ACGGGUGAGCAACGCGUGGGAAUCUACCGUGCCCUGCGGAAUAGCUCCGGGAAACUGGAAUUAAUACCGCAUACGCCCUACGGGGGAAAGAUUUAUCGGGGUAUGAUGAGCCCGCGUUGGAUUAGCUAGUUGGUGGGGUAAAGGCCUACCAAGGCGACGAUCCAUAGCUGGUCUGAGAGGAUGAUCAGCCACAUUGGGACUGAGACACGGCCCAAACUCCUACGGGAGGCAGCAGUGGGGAAUAUUGGACAAUGGGCGCAAGCCUGAUCCAGCCAUGCCGCGUGAGUGAUGAAGGCCUUAGGGUUGUAAAGCUCUUUCACCGGAGAAGAUAAUGACGGUAUCCGGAGAAGAAGCCCCGGCUAACUUCGUGCCAGCAGCCGCGGUAAUACGAAGGGGGCUAGCGUUGUUCGGAAUUACUGGGCGUAAAGCGCACGUAGGCGGAUAUUUAAGUCAGGGGUGAAAUCCCAGAGCUCAACUCAGGAACUGCCUUUGAUACUGGGUAUCUUGAGUAUGGAAGAGGUAAGUGGAAUUCCGAGUGUAGAGGUGAAAUUCGUAGA
RNAcentral lists this ribosomal RNA (557 nucleotides) under uncultured bacterium. Its description in RNAcentral is "bacterial SSU rRNA". It matches the Rfam family "Bacterial small subunit ribosomal RNA", at positions 102 to 694 of the family's 1533-position model. The record is from RNAcentral.